Small nuclear RNA from Leopardus geoffroyi (Geoffroy's cat), 134 nucleotides. RefSeq annotates it as U4 spliceosomal RNA. The transcript has a single exon. Lineage: Eukaryota; Metazoa; Chordata; Mammalia; Carnivora; Felidae. The record is from RefSeq and is a predicted model, not a curated record.
AGCUUUGCGCAGUGGCGGUAUCGUAGCCAAUGAGGUUUAUUAGAGGAGCGAUUACUGCUAAUUGAAAACCUUGCUGGGGCGCCUGGGUGGCGCAGUCGGUUAAGCGUCUGACUUCAGCCAGGUCACGAUCUCGC